CAUGGGUACAGUAAGAUAGUAAAUACGCAGUCCAUUUUUUAUUAUUAUUAUUUUAUUUUAUUUUUGUUUAAGAGCCUGGUCACACUUUAUUAAAACUGGUCACAAAAAUAUUCACUGCAAGGCUGGGCUUUUAGUUAACUCAGUUUUCAUUUUUUCUAAGCAAUCUUGAACCAAGUCUAAAAGUCUUAAAAAAAAAUCUGACAUUAGAUUUUUAUGUUUUAAACCUGUAGUGUAAUCAAUGAUAUAGUUGGUAUAUAGAUACGUCAUUUACUCUUGACUUUCUCUUUCAUACCCAAUAGCCUUUCUGAAUAGUGUGAGUUCAUAGCU
Long non-coding RNA from Oxyura jamaicensis (ruddy duck), 327 nucleotides. RefSeq lists it as uncharacterized. The record is from RefSeq and is a predicted model, not a curated record. NCBI's taxonomy places the organism in Eukaryota, Metazoa, Chordata, Aves, Anseriformes, Anatidae. The transcript has 2 exons.